Molecule: non-coding RNA, 781 nt
Organism: Delphinapterus leucas (beluga whale)
Lineage: Eukaryota; Metazoa; Chordata; Mammalia; Artiodactyla; Monodontidae
Source: RefSeq, a predicted model, not a curated record
AAAUAUAUUGUCAGCCAAGAAAUAGUAAUGAAAAUUGCCAGCACUGAUGCCCGUUAGGAAAUGAACGGAUCAAUGGUGUCACCUCUUUGACCAAGCAUCAUACAGAUGUGAAUUGAUUGUCAGUUUUAUUGAUCUGUGUCAUUCUCAGAGUUUGAGGUUCUUUUUGUUCAUAGAAAAGUUCUCUAAAUUAUGAAAUGUUAUAAAUUCCUCAUGAUUUGUGUACUAUAAAUCUAGAAAGCAAGAAUCAAUCGCAAUACAUUUUCCUUUUUUUUUAAACAUCGGCUGUGCAUUGUACUUCUGAAAAUGGACACGUUCGAGCUGAUUAACCGUGAUUCCAUGGUCAUGCACCUUAUGACUGCAUCGCUGUGUUAGAUUCACAGGAACCAAUAAUGGGAGCACUUAAGCUGGUGGAAGGAUUCUUCUGUGGUCCUGAGAGCUCUGGUUGCAUUCACGUGUUAGGACUGUGGAGACCAUAAGCAACACAGUGGACCUGAUUUAAGGACCUUUCCUUGAUUGACAGCCUUAGGAUAGGAUCUGUGUUUUAGGAUCCCAGAGAUCUAUAAUAGAAGCUCAAGGUGAGUUCAGCCUCCAUGUUGAUCAAGGUUCUCCUUUUCAGGUUGCUAUGGGACAGAGACCCAGGUGAGCUAUAGCCAGGGUUCCUGUCUUGGUUUGGGGAGUUGGUUUAAGUGUUUUCAUUGUGUUCUUUGAAAGUAGUAAAUAUAAUCAAAAAGUUAACUAUGGCCCAAUGAUAAAUAUCAUAUAAGACCUUAUGUUGAUUAAU